UCGUAAUUGCCAGCUUUACGUAAGGCUGUUUGUACAUGUGUUAUCAUGAAAUACGGUGCUGUUUGUACAAUUGUUUGCUCCCUUCUCGCCGCGGCGACGCCACGUUUAGCGUGACCACGGACGAAAAAAUUCCGGACGAAGGCCUUUCGGGCUGGAAUUAAUUUAUCGCCCGCCAAACUCUCCCCGCGGCUCGACGAUCCACGCUCUGACGUCCUUCCGCGACGUGAUUCAAGUAUUUUAACCGUGGUAUUUGCGAAGUGGCAGCCCAUCGCGUCGCAACCAGGUCCGAUUCGCCAACAAAGCAUCGAGAUAAGAAUCGGAUCUUCCAGUUUGUCGUCGUAAUCGUAAACGCUCGUUUGGCUGGCAAUGCCGGCUCCUGAACGAGUUUUCGUUGAACUUUUCUGGAAGACAAAGAGGAAGAAUUGGUUGGAUAGUUGAGAUGCCGAUAAUCGAUGCUUGAUAGGAUUAAUUGGUGUCUCAUGGUCGUCGAAAGCGAGGGAGAAACAGGUGUAGGCAGCCAGUGAAGUUAAGUUUCGUUGGGGUAUCGUGACUACUGGUCAGUUUGUUCGAUAGUUGGUACCAGCCAGCACGGAUGGCCAUAUACCAGGUACGCCUUAGGGGCCUUGGUACCGAGCUGUACCAAGAGGGCCACCGGUCAAUACCUUCAGACCUUCGAAGCACCGUGAAAAACGUAAGCAAAGUGCCAGCCGGCCUCGUCUUGGACGAACUCUAGCCUCGUGCAUGGCACCGAUCGUAGACUCGAAAUCAUGCGAUCACGAAUGACACUGGUGAUUCGUUUGCUAGAUAGGAAGAUUAACAAUUGCAUCACUAGUGCUUGCAACUACAGCUUAUUCUACAAAUCAUCAGAUCAAAGGCUUCCACUCAAAGUAUUCCACGAAUAUACAACUGGUUACAUGCAUACGUAAAACGUAUAAAAUUCACAGUUGCAUCGGGCCACCCAAUAACUUUACGUGCACACAAUAACUACAAAUGCAGAAGACUGGACUCGACACUUUAAAAGCAGCACA
Long non-coding RNA from Osmia bicornis bicornis, 1028 nucleotides. RefSeq lists it as uncharacterized. NCBI's taxonomy places the organism in Eukaryota, Metazoa, Arthropoda, Insecta, Hymenoptera, Megachilidae. The transcript has 3 exons. The record is from RefSeq and is a predicted model, not a curated record.